CAAGAGGUAGUUUAGUUUAAGAAUGCUGGCUUUGGGAGCCAGUGGCGGAGGUUAGAGUCCUUCUUUCUUGA
RNAcentral lists this transfer RNA (71 nucleotides) under Tetraodon lineatus. RNAcentral describes it as "tRNA-Pro". It matches the Rfam family "tRNA". Rfam says of the family: Transfer RNA (tRNA) molecules are approximately 80 nucleotides in length. The record is from RNAcentral. Lineage: Eukaryota; Metazoa; Chordata; Actinopteri; Tetraodontiformes; Tetraodontidae.